GCUGGCAUCAGGCACACCAGAUGGCCCAAGACGCCUUGCUCAGCCACACCCCCAAGGGAAUUCAGCAGUAAUAAACAUUAAGCCAUAAGUGAAAACUUGACUUAGUUAGGGUUAAGAGGGCCGGUAAAAUUCGUGCCAGCCACCGCGGUUAUACGAAAGACCCUAGUUUAUAGGCACGGCGUAAAGGGUGGUUAUGGGACAGACAAAAUAAAGCUAAAGACCCCCAGAGCCGUCAUACGCCCACGGGGGCGCGAGACCCAAAUACGAAAGUAGCUUUACCAAACAAAUGCCCGACCCCACGAAAGCUGGGAAACAAACUGGGAUUAGAUACCCCACUAUGCCCAGCCUUAAACCUAGAUGAAAACUUACAAAACCAUCCGCCCGGGGACUACAAGCACAGCUUAAAACCCAAAGGACUUGGCGGUGCCUCAGACCCACCUAGAGGAGCCUGUUCUAGAACCGAUAACCCCCGUUAAACCUCACCACCUCUUG
RNAcentral lists this ribosomal RNA (492 nucleotides) under Pareiorhaphis hystrix. Its description in RNAcentral is "partial small subunit ribosomal RNA". It matches the Rfam family "Bacterial small subunit ribosomal RNA", at positions 234 to 983 of the family's 1533-position model. Lineage: Eukaryota; Metazoa; Chordata; Actinopteri; Siluriformes; Loricariidae. The record is from RNAcentral.